AGACCCGAAACCCGGUGAUCUAGCCAUGGGCAGGUUGAAGGUUGGGUAACACUAACUGGAGGACCGAACCGACUAAUGUUGAAAAAUUAGCGGAUGACCUGUGGCUGGGGGUGAAAGGCCAAUCAAACCGGGAGAUAGCUGGUUCUCCCCGAAAGCUAUUUAGGUAGCGCCUCGUGAAUUCAUCUCCGGGGGUAGAGCACUGUUUCGGCUAGGGGGCCAUCCCGGCUUACCAACCCGAUGCAAACUGCGAAUACCGGAGAAUGUUAUCACGGGAGACACACGGCGGGUGCUAACGUCCGUCGUGAAGAGGGAAACAACCCAGACCGCCAGCUAAGGUCCCAAAGUCAUGGUUAAGUGGGAAACGAUGUGGGAAGGCCCAGACAGCCAGGAUGUUGGCUUAGAAGCAGCCAUCAUUUAAAGAAAGCGUAAUAGCUCACUGGUCGAGUCGGCCUGCGCGGAAGAUGUAACGGGGCUAAACCAUGCACCGAAGCUGCGGCAGCGAACGUAUCACUUAAAGCGAUUCAGCGGGUUACGAUUGACGGAGCGAAGCGACGUCAAAGCGUAUACAAAGUCGAGUCGGUUUAAGGAUACGUUCGUUGGGUAGGGGAGCGUUCUGUAAGCCUGUGAAGGUGUGUCGUGAGGCAUGCUGGAGGUAUCAGAAGUGCGAAUGCUGACAUAAGUAACGAUAAAGCGGGUGAAAAGCCCGCUCGCCGGAAGACCAAGGGUUCC
RNAcentral lists this ribosomal RNA (729 nucleotides) under Salmonella enterica subsp. enterica. RNAcentral's name for it is "partial 23S ribosomal RNA". It matches the Rfam family "Bacterial large subunit ribosomal RNA", at positions 711 to 1355 of the family's 2925-position model. The record is from RNAcentral. Lineage: Bacteria; Pseudomonadati; Pseudomonadota; Gammaproteobacteria; Enterobacterales; Enterobacteriaceae.